This 501-nucleotide ribosomal RNA is filed under the name endosymbiont of Sphenophorus levis. Its description in RNAcentral is "bacterial SSU rRNA". It matches the Rfam family "Bacterial small subunit ribosomal RNA", at positions 425 to 903 of the family's 1533-position model. The record is from RNAcentral. Lineage: Bacteria; Pseudomonadati; Pseudomonadota; Gammaproteobacteria.
AUAAAGUACUUUCAGCGGGGACGGAAGGGGUUAAGGUUAAUAACCUUAGCCAUUGACGUUACCCGCAGAAGAAGCACCGGCUAACUCCGUGCCAGCAGCCGCGGUAAUACGGAGGGUGCAAUGCGUUAAUCGGAAUUACUGGGCGUAAAGCGCACGCAGGCGGUCUGUCAAGUCGGAUGUGAAAUCCCCGGGCUCAACCUGGGAACUGCAUUCGAAACUGGCAGGCUUGAGUCUCGUAGAGGGGGGUAGAAUUCCAGGUGUAGCGGUGAAAUGCGUAGAGAUCUGGAGGAAUACCGGUGGCGAAGUGCUGGCCCCCUGGACGAAGACUGACGCUCAGGUGCGAAACGCGUGGGGAGCAAACAGGAUUAGAUACCCUGGUAGUCCACGCCGUAAACGAUGUCUAUUUGGAGGUUGUGCCCUUGAGGCGUGGCUUCCGCGAGCUAACGCGUUAACAUAGGAUCCCGCUGCUCGGCAGUACGUGCCGCCAAGGUUAAAAACUCA